Musa acuminata AAA Group (dessert banana) is the source of this 1112-nucleotide long non-coding RNA. RefSeq lists it as uncharacterized. The transcript has 2 exons. NCBI's taxonomy places the organism in Eukaryota, Viridiplantae, Streptophyta, Magnoliopsida, Zingiberales, Musaceae. The record is from RefSeq and is a predicted model, not a curated record.
ACCGCUUUGCAUGGGGUGAACAAUACCUCCGACUUGUUCAUGGGAUGCAGUGUAUCCAGCCCUCGGCUCUCCAACAUCUUCCUUGCCCUCUCAUCCUCCCACAGACAGAUAGAUAGAUAGAUAGAUGAGAGCAGGUAGCUGGCUACCGAACACACACAGUAACAAGAGCAGCACCAGUCCAUCCAUCUUAACUUCGCAGAAGCUGCCUUCCUCCUUCGAAGCAUACGUCUCAACAAACUUUUCCUGUCCUGAUUGCAUCUCGUUUAACUUGAAUUGCAGGAGAAGAGCGAGAGAGGAAACAUGCACUGACAUGUGUUCAUGCAAUUCUUCUUCUUCUUCUUCUUCCUAAUGGAUCUUAAAGUGAAGAACCAUUCAGGGAGAGGACCUCACACGGUUGUUUCUAAGAGUUGCCAAGAGCAGACCAGAGAGGAAACCAAGCUUCCGAGAGUGCCACUAGAUUUAUGGUUUUGAAGCAUCACUCACGAUUGACGAAAACCAAAACAUAGGAGACCGGAUUCUCUUCUCUCUCUUCCAUAGCUCGAUUUGUCGGACUCGUACGAAGACUGUUUGGUUUGGAGAUCUCUCGAGCCUCGGACUUCAUUUAAGAAGCUGGUUUUCAAUACGAAGGGGAAGAGUAGCACAUCGAUCUCGAAACCAUUAUUGAAGAAAAAUCUGCUCGUGGAAUAAAUUCAUCUGCUCGGUAAGCCUUGUUGGCAAGAAUGCAAAAGGAUCGGAGCGAUACAAGAUCUUUUCGGCCUGGAUCGACGGAAGGCAGAGGGAGGAGGAAAAGAUCGAUGAGCGGUUCGAGUACGGACAAGAGAAUCCUUCCGCCGCAAGAGCCAGACCAAGGAAGCUCAGCUUCCAACUAUUUCAGCAUGGAGUCAUUCCUUAUGCUCAUCUUCCUCACCAUGUCUCUGCUGAUACUUCCCCUUGUAUUGCCUCCACUGCCGCCUCCACCUUCCAUGUUGCUAUUACUUCCUCUAGGCAUACUUGCCUUACUGAUGAUCCUGGCUUUCAUGCCCCCAGAUAUAAGAAACAUUGCCUCCUCUUACUUGUAACUAUGUUGCGAAUUUUCGGUUCUCGCGAGAUAAGAGUAUUUGUAGAUUCAGAAA